UACACUCCUACGGGAGGCAGCAGUGGGGAAUAUUGGACAAUGGGCGAAAGCCUGAUCCAGCAAUGCCGCGUGAGUGAUGAAGGCCUUAGGGUUGUAAAGCUCUUUUACCCGGGAUGAUAAUGACAGUACCGGGAGAAUAAGCCCCGGCUAACUCCGUGCCAGCAGCCGCGGUAAUACGGAGGGGGCUAGCGUUGUUCGGAAUUACUGGGCGUAAAGCGCGCGUAGGCGGCUUUGUAAGUUAGAGGUGAAAGCCCGGAGCUCAACUUCGGAAUUGCCUUUAAGACUGCAUCGCUAGAAUCGUGGAGAGGUGAGUGGAAUUCCGAGUGUAGAGGUGAAAUUCGUAGAUAUUCGGAAGAACACCAGUGGCGAAGGCGACUCACUGGACACGUAUUGACGCUGAGGUGCGAAAGCGUGGGGAGCAAACAGGAUUAGAAACCCCAGUAGUCCCAUGA
Molecule: ribosomal RNA, 452 nt
Filed under: uncultured organism
Description: partial 16S ribosomal RNA
Rfam family: Bacterial small subunit ribosomal RNA
Source: RNAcentral